Dermochelys coriacea (leatherback sea turtle) is the source of this 2922-nucleotide long non-coding RNA. RefSeq lists it as uncharacterized. The record is from RefSeq and is a predicted model, not a curated record. NCBI's taxonomy places the organism in Eukaryota, Metazoa, Chordata, Testudines, Dermochelyidae. The transcript is spliced from 3 exons.
GGCGUUUUCUUACAAAUAACAAAGAAAAUGGAGCGAAGAAAACAAUGCUGCGGAGUUGAGCUGCCCCAGGCUUUCUCCCGGGGAAGGGAGAGAAGGGGCUGGCUCCUUUGGCCGCCUUGUCCAUGCCUUUCUCCUGCGACUGUCCGUCCUGCAGCCCCGGGGGGACGAGAUGUCCCCGACCCCUGUUUCCGAUGGGGGGAGGCAUCAGCCUUGGGCGCUGCGCUUUCCACUUGCUGUCCUGACACUGCAGCGUCAAUGCCCCCAGGGGCCAGGCCGCGUGGACCCAUCAUGCCAAAGUGUGCAAGGCACUUCACAUGAGACUUCGUCCCUGCCUGAGACAGUUUACAAUCUGAAUUUCAGACAUGACACAAGAAGAGGAGAAAAUUACUGUUUUCGGAAGGGGAGUUGCCCCUUAUCCAAUGAAAAGGAAAUCUUUGAGGACAAAAUGUUCAGAGCUACUGGAAGGAAUUCUUAAAUCCAUCUGACCAAAGAAGUGCAUGGUUUCUGAUAUUCUUAUGCUUUGUCAACUGGAUUUUUCACAACUGAUGAAAUUGCAUUUUCUUUCUGAUGUGUCUGAAAAUGGAUCCACAACCUACACCUGAUGAUCACUCUUGUUAAAUCUUCAUGAGCAUGAUCAUUUAAACCAGAUAAGAAUGGCUAUACUGAGUGAGCACAAUGGUACAUCUAGCCAAUCUGUCUUCUGGCAAUGGCCAAUACCAGAUACUUUAGAGGGAAUGAACAGAACAGGGCAGUUUAGUGAAUGAUUCAUCCCCUGUAAUACAGUCCCAGCUUCUGGAAGUCAGAGGUUUGGGACACCCAGAGCACAGGGUCCUUAACCAUCUUGGUCUAUUGAUGGACGUAUUCUCCAUGAAAUCUAAUUUUUUUUAACCCAGUUAUACUUUGGCCUUUACAACGUUCCCAGGUUGACUGUGCGUUGUGUGAAGAAGUACUUCCAUAUUUAUGUUUUAAACCUGCUGCCUGUUCAUUUUAUUGGGUGGCCCCUGGUUUGUAUGUUUUAUGAAUGAGUAAAUAUCACUUCCUUAUUCACUUUCUUCACAUCAUUCAUGAUUUUAUAGACCUCUUUCACAACAUAUACACCCCACCCCCAGUUGUCAAUCUCUCCUGAUAUGGAAGCCAUUCCAUUCUCCUAAUCAUUUUUGUUGCCCUUCUCUGUACUUUCCAGUUCUAAUAUCACUUUACAAAUCUGGCAACCAGAACUGCAGGCACUAUUCAAGGUGUUGGCAUACCAUAGCUUUAUAUAGUGGCAUAUUUUCUGUCUUAUUAUCGAUCCCUUUCCUAAUGGGUCCUAACAUUGUGCUAGCUUUUUUGACUGCUGCUGUACACUGAGCAGACAUUUUCAGAGAAACAUAGGACUAAGCAUGAAUGUAUAACCACCAGAUUUGUUUUAACAAGGUAACCAAUUACAUUCUGGCUAGGACCUUGUAGACCAGACCUCACUCACAUUUGAAGUCAAUAAGAAUUUUGCCAUUUGACUGCACUGGGAGCAGGCACUAUAAGGAACUAUCCCACAACAGCAGAAUCAUUGCAUUAUUUUACUUAUGGAAACAUUAACUGUACAUUUUACCAUUGCUAAAUUGUAUUAUUUUAGAUAUAGUAUAGUUGAUCAAAUAAUAUAUCAUCCCAUCAGCAACAGAUCAUGGCUGAGAGUGAAGGCUCAUAGUGCUCCUUAAGCUUAAGUGAUUCCUAAUAAUUAGAGAAGAUUCAUAAGUUAUAUAUGAUGUUACAACUCAUUUUCAUUUUGGGUGACAUAAUAGGUGGUAUUUCAAAUUAUCAAGCCUUUUUCUCUCCCUGCAAAACUUCUCUUUAUAACACAUUUAGAACAAAAUACAAGAUGGAUAUUAAUUGAGAUUCUAAAUAGCACUUACAAACAUUGGACCCUUUAAAAGUGCUCAGUAAAUCAGUUUGAUUUAGAAACAUUUACUUUGGAAUAAAUGACACAUAUGGUCAAUUGGUUUCCAAACAAUCCAGCGCCUUGGAAAGAGAGAGAGCGAGCACAUUAGAUCUGAGAAAUGCAUUCGGGAUUUUCAAGAUUAGUAAACAGUCACUUGAAAAAACAAAUACAUGACAAUUUGGGGGCGGUUGCAGAAUGUGGGUUGAAGUCUACUGAUAGUUUCUGGGACUUGAUGCUUAGGAGAUCGGUAAUAGGAUACAGUGCAUUUCAGCUCCAGGUCAUUGGGUUGAAUCCAUGCCAUCUCAAUAGAGACAGAAACUCAUUACAAUGAUGUCUGUUCAGUGGCCUAUGGGAAAUGAAUUGUCAAUGCCAAUGCAGUUCCUAAAUGAUGGGAGUUUACAAGACAAUUGCCCCCCUUGUUAGCAGUCUCAGUAGAGAAGCCAAGGACUAAAUAUGGUUGUGGCAAACCAAGGCUUAAGCAUGUUCCUUGGGCAGAGUGAGGAAGCUUAUUCUGCUACUGUCUGAACCACAAAGCAAAGAUUUAGGACCCCUGUGCUGUCACUAAAAUCAGUUUAAAUAAACAUUCUCCAGAUACAUCAGUUUUAUUAUUGGAAAUAAGAUAUUAAAAUGGCAUGUACAAUUGUAGCAUUUCUAACAUUGCAGUAUGGUGGUUAAUGUUAUUUUGUACUGAACUCGGAAUGUUUUAGAAAUCUGUACUAAUUCUACAUGAGUCUGGAGAUCAAUUCAACCAAGUUUGUGAUAUUUUUGUCUCAGCUUUUACUUUCAGUGAGAGAGCUGUUUUCCUCUACUCUGUCAUUGCAGUUGUGUAAAAUCUGUAAUUCUACUGCCUCUAAUUACAUACAGCCCAGAGAAAUGUCCACUUUCAGAUUGAGGCAUGCAGAUGGGAAUGUAGGAUAAGAUUUUUAGAAUUUUCAAGUGAGACGGAAGGAAGGCUUAAGUUCUGGAUAGAAUUCAUCCAAAAAUGUAGGUUGUGUAGUCUUCUGUAUUCC